AGACGGGGGGGGCGAGCGUUGUUCGGAAUUACUGGGCGUAAAGGGCGCGCAGGCGGCCUGGGAAGUUUUGGGUGAAAGCCCCCGGCUCAACCGGGGAAUGGCCUGAGAAACCACUAGGCUGGAGUGCUGGAGAGGGAAGCGGAAUUCCCGGUGGAGCGGUGAAAUGCGUAGAUAUCGGGAGGAACACCGGAGGCGAAGGCGGCUUCCUGGACAGACACUGACGCUGAGGCGCGAAAGCUAGGGGAGCAAACGGGAUUAGAAACCCCAGUAGUCC
This 274-nucleotide ribosomal RNA is filed under the name uncultured bacterium. Its description in RNAcentral is "partial 16S ribosomal RNA". It matches the Rfam family "Bacterial small subunit ribosomal RNA", at positions 523 to 796 of the family's 1533-position model. The record is from RNAcentral.